GAUGAACGCUGGCGGCGUGCCUAAUACAUGCAAGUCGAGCGAACAGACGAGGCGCUUGCUCCUCUCACGUUAGCGGCGGACGGGUGAGUAACACGUGGAUAACCUCCCUAUAAGACUGGGAUAACUUCGGGAAACCGGCGCUAAUACCGUAUAAUAUCUUGAACCGCAUGGUUCAAUAGUGAAAGACGGUUUUGCUGUCUCUUAUAGAUGGAUCCGCGCCGCAUUAGCUAGUUGGUAAGGUAACGGCUUAUCAAGGCGACGAUGCGUAGCCGACCUGAGAGGGGGAUAGGCCACACGGGAGCUGAGACACGGUCAAGACUCCUACGGGAGGCAGCAGUAGGGAAUCUUACGCAAUGGGGGAAAGCCUGACGGAGCAACGGCGAGUGAGUGAUGAAGGUCUUCGGAUCGUAAAACUCUGUUAUGAGGGAAGAACAAAUGUGUAAGUAAAUAUGCACGUCUUGACGGUAACUAAUCAGAAAGCCACGGCUAACUACGUG
Molecule: ribosomal RNA, 497 nt
Filed under: uncultured bacterium
Lineage: Bacteria
Description: partial 16S ribosomal RNA
Rfam family: Bacterial small subunit ribosomal RNA
Source: RNAcentral